Non-coding RNA from Pogona vitticeps (central bearded dragon), 607 nucleotides. The record is from RefSeq and is a predicted model, not a curated record. Lineage: Eukaryota; Metazoa; Chordata; Lepidosauria; Squamata; Agamidae.
UUUAAAGGAAGUAGUAGGCAGGGAAGAAGUGCAUGCAGAAGUGGAUGGAGGAAAGCUUAAUGAUAACAUCAAUGAGGAACGUCUCUCCAGCAGAAGUGGAGCACAAGUCUUAAAGUGACCCACAAAAGUGGUGCACACUUUUGCAGAACAGUAAGCCAAGUGGUAAACUGAACUGGGCCUACAGUGUUGAGUGUGUUAUAUUACUGAAACUGUUCCUGUGGUUAAAAAAAGGAACUGAUGCAAAGAAAAGGAGCAAUCCCCCAUUCUGGAGCCAUGAAUGCCAAUUUUGGUGAGUGUGAAAGCCUCAAGGACCUGUGAGCCUCAGUGGUACUCCAGACCUGCUGUUUAUAGAGGCUUUCUCCCCCUGGGAAAUUUCCAGAAAGCGGAGUCUCCUGCUGUGUCUGGUGCCUUCUGCACCUAAGAUAAUUUGCUUCUCCUUAGCAACAUUCUUUUUCCUGGCAUGUUUGGAGUCCCCGAGAUGAACACUCUGAUAUCAUAAGGGGAAAUGAAUACAGAUGAAAAGGAAUGAUUCCAAAGGAAUGAUGACCUCUGUUUUUGAGGAUGGCUCCCUUAGGAAUGCAAUUUGCUCUUCAGCUCAAGAAACGUG